CCUACGGGAGGCUGCAGUGGGGAAUAUUGCACAAUGGGGGAAACCCUGAUGCAGCGACGCCGCGUGAGUGAAGAAGUAUCUCGGUACGUAAAGCUCUAUCAUCAGGGAAGAACAUGACGGUACCUGACUAAGAAGCCCCGGCUAACUACGUGCCAGCAGCCGCGGUCAUACGUAGGGGGCAAGCGUUAUCCGGAUUUACUGGGGGUAAAGGGAGCGUAGACGGCAGCACAAGUCUGGAGUGAAAGCCCGGGGCUUAACCCCGGAACUGCGUUGGAAACUGGGCGGCUGGAGUGCAGGAGGGGUAAGCGGAAUUCCUGGUGUAGCGGUGAAAUGCGUAGAUAUAAGGAGGAACACCAGUGGCGAAGGCGGCUUACUGGUCUGUAACUGACGUUGAGGCUCGAAAGCGUGGGGAGCAAACAGGAUUAGAUACCCGAGUAGUC
RNAcentral lists this ribosomal RNA (440 nucleotides) under uncultured bacterium. RNAcentral describes it as "partial 16S ribosomal RNA". It matches the Rfam family "Bacterial small subunit ribosomal RNA", at positions 338 to 795 of the family's 1533-position model. The record is from RNAcentral.